GCGGAGGGAUCAUUACCGAGUUAUACAACUCAUCAACCCUGUGAACAUACCUAAAACGUUGCUUCGGCGGGAACAGACGGCCCCGUAAAACGGGCCGCCCCCGCCAGAGGACCCCCUAACUCUGUUUCUAUUAUGUUUUUUCUGAGUAAAACAAGCAAAUAAAUUAAAACUUUCAACAACGGAUCUCUUGGCUCUGGCAUCGAUGAAGAACGCAGCGAAAUGCGAUAAGUAAUGUGAAUUGCAGAAUUCAGUGAAUCAUCGAAUCUUUGAACGCACAUUGCGCCCGCCAGUAUUCUGGCGGGCAUGCCUGUUCGAGCGUCAUUACAACCCUCAGGCCCCCGGGCCUGGCGUUGGGGAUCGGCGAGGCGCCCCCUGCGGGCACACGCCGUCCCCCAAAUACAGUGGCGGUCCCGCCGCAGCUUCCAUUGCGUAGUAGCUAACACCUCGCAACUGGAGAGCGGCGCGGCCACGCCGUAAAACCCCCAACUUCUGAAUGUUGACCUCGGAUCAGGUAGGAAUACCCGCUG
This 527-nucleotide ribosomal RNA is filed under the name Fusarium cf. solani 11856. RNAcentral's name for it is "eukaryotic LSU rRNA". The stretch from base 168 to 321 matches the Rfam family "5.8S ribosomal RNA". Lineage: Eukaryota; Fungi; Ascomycota; Sordariomycetes; Hypocreales; Nectriaceae. The record is from RNAcentral.